GAACACGGCCAUAGUCGCUAGGAAACACCUGUUCCCAUUCCGAACACAGAAGUUAAGCUGACGACGUCUGCUGCGUUAGUCUCCGUCAAGAGGCGAAACUCGGAUGCUGUGUUCU
This 115-nucleotide ribosomal RNA is filed under the name Candidatus Pacearchaeota archaeon. The record is from RNAcentral. Lineage: Archaea; Nanobdellati.